This 309-nucleotide long non-coding RNA is filed under the name Coturnix japonica (Japanese quail). RNAcentral's name for it is "lncRNA (ENSCJPG00005010804.1)". The record is from RNAcentral. Lineage: Eukaryota; Metazoa; Chordata; Aves; Galliformes; Phasianidae.
CACAAUUUCAAGUAAACUUUACUGUUUCAGGAAUACAGAUACAACUGACUUAUGGCUGUUAGUUUUGUUGUUUAUUUGUUUGCUGUUUCUCCCCCCCCCCCCAAAUGCAACAGAAGCAACAGGUCACAAUGAGGCAUUCCAGUGGGUCAGUUUGGCUGAGUGCAAGGACUCUUCAAGCAGAAUAUACAGAAAUUAAAGAGAAUAAGAUGUUUCUGACUUUACAGGAGAAAGGUAAUGCUGAGCACUUGAAUGUUCGAGUUGGAAGCAAUUAGAAAUAAAAGUCAGGAAGAAAUACUUCCUGUGAAUAUG